This 301-nucleotide ribosomal RNA is filed under the name uncultured bacterium. Its description in RNAcentral is "partial 16S ribosomal RNA". It matches the Rfam family "Bacterial small subunit ribosomal RNA", at positions 509 to 807 of the family's 1533-position model. The record is from RNAcentral.
CAGCCGCCGCGGUAAUACAGAGGAUGCAAGCGUUAUCCGGAAUGAUUGGGCGUAAAGCGUCUGUAGGUGGCUUUUCAAGUCCGCCGUCAAAUCCCAGGGCUCAACCCUGGACAGGCGGUGGAAACUACCAAGCUGGAGUACGGUAGGGGCGGAGGGAGUUUCCGGUGGAGCGGUGAAAUGCGUUGAGAUCGGAAAGAACACCAACGGCGAAAGCACUCUGCUGGGCCGGCACUGACACUGAGAGACGAAAGCUAGGGGAGCAAAUGGGAUUAGAUACCCCGGUAGUCCCUGUCUCUUAUAC